CUAACAGUGAAAUGCUUCAUAAACAACAGGUGUAGACUAACAGUGAAAUGCUUCAUAAACAACAGGUGUAGACUAACAGUGAAAUGCUUCAUAAACAACAGGUGUAGACUAACAGUGAAAUGCUUCAUAAACAACAGGUGUAGACUAACAGUGAAAUGCUUCAUAAACAACAGGUGUAGACUAACAGUGAAAUGCUUCGUAAACAACAGGUGUAGACUAACAGUGAAAUGCUUCAUAAACAACAGGUGUAGACUAACAGUGAAAUGCUUCAUAAACAACAGGUGUAGACUAACAGUGAAAUGCUUCAUAAACAACAGGUGUAGACUAACAGUGAAAUGCUUCCUAAACAACAGGUGUAGACUAACAGUGAAAUGCUUCAUAAACAACAGGUGUAGACUAACAGUGAAAUGCUUCAUAAACAACAGGUGUAGACUAACAGUGAAAUGCUUCAUAAACAACAGGUGUAGACUAACAGUGAAAUGCUUCAUAAACAACAGGUGUAGACUAACAGUGA
Long non-coding RNA from Oncorhynchus keta (chum salmon), 514 nucleotides. RefSeq lists it as uncharacterized. Lineage: Eukaryota; Metazoa; Chordata; Actinopteri; Salmoniformes; Salmonidae. The record is from RefSeq and is a predicted model, not a curated record. The transcript is spliced from 4 exons.